GACGAACGCUGGCGGCGUGCCUAAUACAUGCAAGUUGAGCGCUGAAGGUUGGUACUUGUACCAACUGGAUGAGCAGCGAACGGGUGAGUAACGCGUGGGGAAUCUGCCUUUGAGCGGGGGACAACAUUUGGAAACGAAUGCUAAUACCGCAUAAAAACUUUAAACACAAGUUUUAAGUUUGAAAGAUGCAAUUGCAUCACUCAAAGAUGAUCCCGCGUUGUAUUAGCUAGUUGGUGAGGUAAAGGCUCACCAAGGCGAUGAUACAUAGCCGACCUGAGAGGGGGCUCGGCCACAUUGGGACUGAGACCCGGCCCAAACUCCUACGGGAGGCAGCCGUAGGGAAUCUUCGGCAAUGGACGAAAGUCUGACCGAGCAACGCCGCGUGAGUGCAGAAGGUUUUCGGAUCGUAAAACUCUGUUGGUAGAGAAGAACGUUGGUGAGAGUGGAAAGCUCAUCAAGUGACGGUAACUACCCAGAAAGGGACGGCUAACUACGUG
RNAcentral lists this ribosomal RNA (497 nucleotides) under uncultured bacterium. Its description in RNAcentral is "partial 16S ribosomal RNA". It matches the Rfam family "Bacterial small subunit ribosomal RNA", at positions 28 to 507 of the family's 1533-position model. The record is from RNAcentral.